This 113-nucleotide small RNA is filed under the name Rhizobium giardinii. RNAcentral's name for it is "Alphaproteobacterial ar15". It matches the Rfam family "Alphaproteobacterial ar15". Lineage: Bacteria; Pseudomonadati; Pseudomonadota; Alphaproteobacteria; Hyphomicrobiales; Rhizobiaceae. The record is from Rfam by way of RNAcentral.
AGCUGAUGCAGAUGGUGGUCUUUUUCCUCCCAGUGCCACCGCAGCAGCUGUUCCCCUCUGGAGGUUUAUACCUUCACACCUAAAGGGCCCGGCUUUUCCCGUGGCCCUUUUUU